This 253-nucleotide ribosomal RNA is filed under the name uncultured bacterium. RNAcentral's name for it is "partial 16S ribosomal RNA". It matches the Rfam family "Bacterial small subunit ribosomal RNA", at positions 524 to 776 of the family's 1533-position model. The record is from RNAcentral.
UACGAAGGGGGCAAGCGUUGUUCGGAAUUACUGGGCGUAAAGGGCGCGUAGGCGGAACUGCAAGUCAGGGGUGAAAGGCCUGGGCUCAACCCGGGAAUUGCCCUUGAGACUGUGGAUCUAGAGUGCGGGAGAGGGUGGCGGAAUACCCAGUGUAGAGGUGAAAUUCGUAGAUAUUGGGUAGAACACCGGUGGCGAAGGCGGCCACCUGGCCCGCAACUGACGCUGAGGCGCGAAAGCGUGGGGAGCAAACAGG